AGAGUUUGAUCCUGGCUCAGAACGUACGCUGGCGGCACGCCUAACACAUGCAAGUCGAACGAAGUAGCAAUACUUAGUGGCAGACGGGUGAGUAACAUGUGGGUAUCUGCCCUUUGGCCUGGAAUAACACGAGGAAACUUGUGCUAAUACCGGAUAAGUCUUUACGGAGAAAGCUUUAUGCACCAUUGGAUGAGCCCGCACUUGAUUAGUUUGUUGGUGGGGUAAUGGCCUACCAAGACUGUGAUCAAUAGCUGAUUUGAGAGGAUGAUCAGCCACAUUGGGACUGAGACACGGCCCAAACUCCUACGGGAGGCAGCAGUGGGGAAUCUUGCACAAUGGAGGAAACUCUGAUGCAGCGAUGCCGCGUGAGUGAAGAAGGCCCUUGGGUUGUAAAGCUCUUUCGUCGGGGAAGAAAAUGACUGUACCCGAAUAAGAAGGUCCGGCUAACUUCGUGCCAGCAGCCGCGGUAAUACGAAGGGACCUAGCGUAGUUCGGAAUUACUGGGCUUAAAGAGUUCGUAGGUGGUUGAAAAAGUUAGUGGUGAAAUCCCAGAGCUUAACUCUGGAACUGCCAUUAAAACUUUUCAGCUAGAGUAUGAUAGAGGAAAGCAGAAUUUCUAGUGUAGAGGUGAAAUUCGUAGAUAUUAGAAAGAAUACCAAUUGCGAAGGCAGCUUUCUGGAUCAUUACUGACACUGAGGAACGAAAGCAUGGGUAGCGAAGAGGAUUAGAUACCCUCGUAGUCCAUGCCGUAAACGAUGUGUGUUAGACGUUGGAAAUUUAUUUUCAGUGUCGCAGCGAAAGCGAUAAACACACCGCCUGGGGAGUACGACCGCAAGGUUAAAACUCAAAUGAAUUGACGGGGACCCGCACAAGUAGUGGAGCAUGUGGUUUAAUUCGAAGAUACGCGCAGAACCUUACCAACACUUGACAUGUUCGUCGCGACUCUAAGAGAUUAGAGUUUUCGGUUCGGCCGGACGAAACACAGGUGCUGCAUGGCUGUCGUCAGCUCGUGUCGUGAGAUGUUGGGUUAAGUCCCGCAACGAGCGCAACCCUCACUUUUAGUUGCCAUCAUUAAGUUGGGCACUCUGAAAGAACUGCCAGUGAUAAGCUGGAGGAAGGUGGGGAUGACGUCAAGUCCUCAUGGCCCUUACGUGUUGGGCUACACACGUGCUACAAUGGUAUCUACAACAGGAAGCAAGACUGCGAGGUCAAGCAAAUCCUUAAAAGAUACCUCAGUUCGGAUUGCACUCUGCAACUCGAGUGCAUGAAGCUGGAAUUACUAGUAAUCGUGGAUCAGCGUGCCACGGUGAAUGCGUUCCCGGGUCUUGUACACACCGCCCGU
RNAcentral lists this ribosomal RNA (1342 nucleotides) under uncultured bacterium. RNAcentral's name for it is "bacterial SSU rRNA". It matches the Rfam family "Bacterial small subunit ribosomal RNA". The record is from RNAcentral.